UGGUCAAGUUAUUAAGGGUGCAGGGCGGAUGCCUUGGCACUAGGAGCCGAUGAAGGACGUGAUAAGCUGCGAUAAGCUUCGGGGAGUUGCACGUAAACUUUGAUCCGAAGAUUUCCGAAUGAGGAAACUCACUUAGAGUAAUGUCUAAGUAUCAUUAAGUGAAUACAUAGCUUAAUGAGGGGAACUCAGGGAACUGAAACAUCUAAGUACCUGAAGGAAGAGAAAGAAAUUCGAUUCCGUAAGUAGCGGCGAGCGAACGCGGAUUAGCCCAAACCAAUAAAGUUUUCUUUGUUGGGGUUGCGGACAUAUCAUAACGAAGAGGUAUCGUAAUUGAAGAGGUUUGGAAAGACCCACCACAGAAGGUAAUAGUCCUGUAUGUUAAACGAGAAGACUUUAGAUAUGAUCCAGAGUACCACGGGACACGUGAAACCCUGUGGGAAGCAGGAGGGACCACCCUCCAAGGCUAAAUACUACCUAGUGACCGAUAGCGUAUAGUACCGUGAGGGAAAGGUGAAAAGAACCCCG
This 525-nucleotide ribosomal RNA is filed under the name Clostridioides difficile. RNAcentral's name for it is "bacterial LSU rRNA". It matches the Rfam family "Bacterial large subunit ribosomal RNA", at positions 1 to 528 of the family's 2925-position model. Lineage: Bacteria; Bacillati; Bacillota; Clostridia; Peptostreptococcales; Peptostreptococcaceae. The record is from RNAcentral.